AUGUGCAUGAUAGCCUGGAGCAUUUAAUGUAUGAUUCUGACCUGCUGUAGCUUCAGAAUAUUUGCCAUUUUAUUGGUAUUGCCACCAUAUAAUGUUUUGCACCAGAACGUCUUUAAAAUCAUUUUAUGACGUUAGUAUUGUAUACACAAACACACCAAGGUUGUGUCGCAGCUGGAGCCUUUGUGAAAUUGACUGCCUCGUCCAGCUUGCUAAGUGGGAGAGGGUCAUAGUGUCGUGUUUAAGGCUGUGAUAGAGAGUGACCUGUCCUCCUCACACUGGAUAAUGGACUGAGGAUUUCUAUACCAGCCCAUUAAACAGCAAAUAGCAGUUAGUAGACUUACAAGCACCAGUACCACAAAAUGCUUUUUAACAAAUUUGAUCUGUAUUUUUUCUUAAGUGUAUGUAUAUUUAGUAGAGGCUGCUUCAGAUCACCACACCUAGUCCCACCCCUGGGUUUAGGACUCAAAGGCUAAGGCUUGGUUCUCACUCAGGUGCUAAACCUGACCAUGUACUAUAGAAUGUCAGAUUAUAAAUGGCGUCUUGGCAUGGACUGACUAGCAUCACAUGCAAACCAAUUCCUUGCACAUAAAAAACCAGCAUGUCAAGGAGAAGAUUAGAUGGGAACCCUUCUUCAGAAUGUCAGAUUUUCUCUGUGAAAAACAGAGAGUUUUUUAUCUUUAUGUUUUUAUGUUUUUAAAAGUUUUUUAAUGGCAAAACUUCUAUUCUAAAGUGAUGUAGUUCAUACAGGGCUUUACCACCUAAAUGCUAUACUAGGCAUGAUUUUGCUGAGGGAAGGAGGAGGGAGUUGGAGAGGGAAGAGGAUGGACAAGGUAUUGGGCAAGGAAAUGAGAUCAUUGUUUCCACUGAUAUGUACAACUUGAAAAAAAUGGAUUUAAAAUAAAAGGUAAAACCUCAGUCUUGACUUUUUUUUUUAAGGCAGCAUGAAUAUUGGAAACAAUGGCAGGGAAAACUAUCCAAACAAGUCUCUUAGUUUACCAUCUUUCCUUAUUUUCUAGGAUACAGAUGUUUGUAAUGUGCUGAGUUGUGAUGUGUUAGAUAAAAAUAUUUGUGAUGUGUUGAAGAAGCUUGAAUCAGUAAGUGCCAUUGAAAUAAUUUAGAUCAGAACUUUCCAAAAGAUGAGCCAGAAUAUGCUCAUGUGACUCAUGGGAACAGCGAGUGUGUCACGAGGAAAAGAAAAUUAGCCAGCUGGAGACGAAGCUGCCCAAUGCAUCUCUGUGUGAUUCACUGCACUGAUUUUGCCUCCUCCAGCCAGCUCCCACUAAGGUAAAGGUAAAGGUACCCCUGCCCGUACGGGCCAGUCGUGUCCGACUCUAGGGUUGUGCUCCCAUCUCACUUAAGAGGCCGGGGGCCAGCGCUGUCCGGAGACACUUCCAGGUCACGUGGCCAGCGUGAUGAAGCUGCUCUGGCGAGCCAGCACCAGCGCAGCACACGGAAAUGCUGUUUACCUUCCCGCUAUAAAGCGGUACCUAUUUAUCUACUUGCACUUAAGGGUGCUUUCGAACUGCUAGGUGGGCAGGAGCUGGGACUGAAAGACAGGAGCUCACCCCGCCACGGGGAUUCGAACCGCCGACCAUACGAUCGGCAAGUCCUAGGCACUGAGGUUUUACCCACAGCGCCACCCGCAUCCCGCCAGCUCCCACUAGAAGUGGCUAAUUCUUCCUUGCCUUGAUAUCAACUGUAAGAGAUAAAGUAUGCAGCCAUUCCCAAUAUAGAGAUGCAGCGGACUUACCUGCCUACAGAGGAAACUGUUGCUUCAUCAUGAAUUACUGUUCAGGACUUAGUUAAGGAGCAAACCCAAUACUGUUUUAAGAGAGUGGGUGGUACUUACACUUUCACACUGUAGUCCCAUACACCUUUACCUGGGACUGUUCAGCUGAACUCAGUGUGACAUGGCUCCAAAUAAACAUGUAUAGGGUUUCAUUGUAAAAGUAAAGCUUUUCAAGUAUAAGAGUGAGGCAUGCCUCCAGUUUAAAUUCAGGGAGAGAGAGAACUGAGUCUCUGUUAUCAGAAGUUUGAGAACUGAGAGAUGCUGGAUUAGACCUGUCUGCACAAAACUGUGGGAAAGACUGCAGCCAUGGGGCAAUAUGACUAAUGCCGCAUUUAAAAGUUAUCCUACUAUAAGAAAGCCAAACUUUUAGGAAAUGGAAAACAGCAUGCUUUUUAAAAGAUUUCCCACCUAGCAAAAUUUCCCAUUAAAUAAUUUCUAAAACCUCCAGUUUCUCAAUUUAUUUUUCUUGUGGGCUGCCUGGUCACUGUUGGAAAUAUAAUGCCGGGCCUAGAUGAGCUCACCCUAGUCUGGUCCGGAAAGUCUCUUCUGAGAUUGUUUUCAUUUCCAAAAUGUGGCAGUGAUAGUACAAAUCAGCCCUUAACUGGUUCCCUGUGGAUUUUUCACAUAACCAUAAAAAGUCUGCUGUGUUUCAUUGCACCAAAUCUAUACAGCAUAAAGAACAGGAGUUCAGCAAUGGAGCACCUUGAAAGGCAGAGCAUUAAGGAGAUGGUUUCGUCUCGUCUUCUGGAACGUACAGGAAUUUGUGGUGUGCUUGGUUGGCGAUGUAGUGCUCUCUGCUGGUUUGUAGGAAGGAAAGGCACAUGCCAUCCUGUUCCCAUCCAUUAACACAGGUGUGGGGUUAGGAAGGUGCUGUUGUUGAUAUGUGCUUAGAUGGGAGUGUUUUAAAUUACUAAGAUGGUGGUGACUGUAAAGGCAGUGCCUGGGUUUUUUCUUAAUUGUUUCUUCAAUGCUAUCAUGCUGUUUUCAUUGACUAGUAAAUACUGUACUCAAUACUAGCAGCAUUGGGACAGGGCAUGAUCCUUAUCAGCAGACUGUGAACAGACCAUGCAUGCAUACAAACUGCACAAAAGUAGACAUGUCCAUGAAAUCAGGUGCUUAUAGCACUGGGAGUCCAAAUUAGGCAUGUGGGCCAGAGGUUCUCUAUUGCUGGUCUGUAGGUUGGCAUGGUGUCAGGCAAUACUGGAGAAUUCUAACUUUCUUCAAUAUGCUCUAACACCAGGCAGUCAGUUGAUGCCCUGCUUUCUGAUCACUUCACCAGUUCAGUCCCCAGUGAAGUGAAUCAGGUGGGUGAGCUUUCAGUUGCACGAAAGUGAUAUUUGAGCAAAUAGUACAUUAUGAAACAGUUUACUUUUAUUCACAUUUCAUGAUUAAUGGGUACAUCAUUCUGAAGUUUGCAGGAUAAAUUAAAAUUCAGAAAUGAAACAAGCAAUACAAGCUAUAAUUUUAUUCAGGUGCUGGCCUGUUUAUACCAUUCAUGCUAGUCAUGACAUGGGUGUUUAAUAAAUAUUGAACAAAAAGAGGGGGAAAUGUGAAUUUGAUGAAGUUUGCAGGCAAUUAGAGCAAUUUAUUUCACUAUUAACAUGACAGACUCUAAAUGGAAAUCAGCUAUGGAUGAAAAUGCAGUUUUAUUGCCCUGUAUUCAGGCGGCUGUGUAAUUAAAUAAUGAAAUAGGGUGGCAUCCAUGACUGCCUUUUCUAGCAAGGCAACCAUCCAUCACAUCAUCUUCUGCUGUGUGUGUAUAGAAAGAGCUUUCAUCACCCCAAACCUGUUUCUGAUGAGUAUAAGAAUGCAUCCGUCUGCUAUGUCGAAAUUCCAGCUACAAUAUGUUGUUCUCUUCCUAGCUACUCCUUUGAGAAUUUUAGGUGGAACAAUACUUUUAAACCUGCAGUGCUGGCCCAGACUUUACAGGCUCCUUAGAAAGAAUCCUGUAACUGCAGACACAUUCCUGCAGAAUCCAUUUUCAAAUUCCACAUAGACAUGGCCAUACUGGAGAGGAAAAGGUCUGGGCCCUGGAUGGGUAGAGAGCUAUUGUUCCUGGAGUGAUGAGGUCAGUAAGUUGAGACAACUUGGGAAGGUGAACUGUGAGCAUAGGUGCCAGGUCUAGGGAGCCCUGGGUGUCAGGGCACCUACAAUUUUUUUGGGGGGUGCUUAGCACCCACGAGUGGCUCUGACGCGACUUCCGGUUACUGACACGGCCUCCCAGAUGACGAAUGCAACUUCUGGUAGAAAGAAACUUCCGGUAGAGGUCUUACGAGGCCUCAGACGUGACCUCCGAGACCUCGCAAGGUCAAGUCCAAGGCCUCUAGACCUCUGACACAACUUCUGGUAUCCACCAGAAGUUGCGUUCGGAGGCCUGGCAGGGCCUCGGAAGUCACUUCUGAGAGCUCGCAGGGUCGCAGAAGCAACGUCCAAGGCGCUGCCACACCUUUGAAUGAAACUUCUGGUGGAAACCAGAAAUUGUGUUCAGAAGUCUCUCUUGGAAGAGCUGCCACACUGUCGACCCAACAUGACAUCGUGACGUCACAGGCGCCAUUGGGCACCCAUAACCUGGGGGCCAAGUUGGCGCCCCUGACUUCGAGGCAAAGAAGAGAGUUGGGGUGGUGCCCUUGCAUAAGAGGAUGCUGGGGGACUGCUUGCAGAGCCCCAGUGUAACCUCAACGAAUCAUUGGCUAGGAUUUUUCCUAGCACUAGCUUGCUUAUUCCACCAUAUGCUGCCGUGUUCUGAUUAAACUGUUGGCAAGGGUUAUUGGUCUGGAUUAGGUUUGCCCUGAGAAUAUGGGGGCAUUCUGAUUCUUUGAAGAUGGUCUUGUCCUGGCCUUCACUGCCAGAAGAAGAACUCAGAUUUCCAGCUUGGUUUUUGCCAAAUACUUAAAUCAGAGUGGCAUAUGAGCAGAGCACUGUUACAAGGUGAAGCAGUUGUGCAAGAGGCUUAGAUGGCUGGGUGCAAGCUAAAACGUUGAUCCAACAAGCAACAAUCUCCCUGCACCCUCCUUUUGAAGUUUGGGGUGGGAACAGCAUUUAGCCUGGCUGAGUCAUGGGCCUGGGCAACAAAACAGGCCAUUUCAAACAUAAGUUUUAUCCAUGGAAAUAAGCUCCAUAUAGAUUCUGUUAUUAUAUAGAUGAUAAUACCUGAACAAUACAUUCAUUGAAAAAUCUCCCUGGGUGUUUUUACCGAUGCUAACUGCCAGAGCUAAUACUGGAAGGAGAUAAAUUUUGUUUUGCUUUAAAUCCCUUAAGAUUAAGCACUCUGUACUCUUUUAUAAUUCACUAUAUGCUGUCUGUGUCCAGUGUUUGAAACACCUGUUUCUGAGACUGUGUCACAGGAAUUUGUGAUUGUGUUAAACAUGGUAUUAUUACUUCUUGCAUGUAUUCUGAUUGGAGGAAAAAUUAAUAUGGAAGUGCUCAUCGAAAGGCACGAUUUUCAUGUAUAUUCAUGAUCAAGGGGCUAGAGGCGCAUUUUAUCUUUGCAAUGAUUAUAGCAAUGUUUGCUAGCUAUCAAAAUCAGAGCUAUUUCAUUUUGACUCUUCAUUCAUAUUCAGAUGUGUUGUUUUUUUCACUACUGGUUUUAAUUACCUUAUUCAUAAUUCCUAGCUUGAAAAGUGUGGCAACAUGAGUGUGGCCUAUGGCCAUAAAAGGUUUUAAGGGCAAGCAGCGUAUAUGGUAUCAAUGCUCAAACUUCUGACUUUGGUCAAGGAAAACACACAGCAGUAGAAUGAAUACAGAAAAUUAUCUUUGCCGCAUCACACGUGCUGUGUUUGUUUUUACACAUGCUUAUACAUGACAUAUUG
RNAcentral lists this long non-coding RNA (5598 nucleotides) under Podarcis lilfordi (Lilford's wall lizard). Lineage: Eukaryota; Metazoa; Chordata; Lepidosauria; Squamata; Lacertidae. The record is from RNAcentral.